GAACGCACCUUGCACCCUUUGGUAUUCCAAAGGGUACACCCGUUUGAGUGUCAUUGUAACCUCACAUCCAAAGCCUUUUUCCAAGGCCUCGGAAGGUGGAAAUUGGACGCAUGCGAGACUUUCUCGCUCGUCUCAAAAGAAUUCCGCAAUGUGCCCCAGCUUUGUGAGUCGGUGUGAUAGUUGUCUUCACCGCACAGAUGCAAUUUUGGUGGCCAAUGCCCUCGAAAGGUCCCCUCUGGGACAAUGACUUGACAAUUUGACCUCAAAUCGGGUGGGACUACCCGCUGAACUUAAG
RNAcentral lists this unclassified non-coding RNA (295 nucleotides) under uncultured fungus. Its description in RNAcentral is "sequence contains 5.8S rRNA gene". Lineage: Eukaryota; Fungi. The record is from RNAcentral.